UAACAAGGAUUCCCCUAGUAACUGCGAGUGAAGCGGGAUGAGCUCAAAUUUAAAAUCUGGCGGCUUUGUCGUCCGAAUUGUAAUCUGGAGAAGCGUUUUCCGCGUCGGACCGUGUACAAGUCUCUUGGAACAGAGCUUCAUAGAGGGUGAGAAUCCCGUCCAUGACACGGACCGCCGAUGCUUUGUGAUACGCUCUCGAAGAGUCGAGUUGUUUGGGAAUGCAGCUCAAAAUGGGUGGUAAAUUCCAUCUAAAGCUAAAUAUUGGCGAGAGACCGAUAGCGAACAAGUACCGUGAGGGAAAGAUGAAAAGCACUUUGGAAAGAGAGUAAAACAGUACGUGAAAUUGUUGAAAGGGAAACGCUUGAAGUCAGUCGCGUUUGCCGGGACUCAGCCUUGCUUCUGCUUGGUGUAUUUCCCGGUAGACGGGUCAACAUCGAUUUUGGUCGACGGAUAAAGGGGUUGGGAAUGUGGCACCUUCGGGUGUGUUAUAGCCCUCUUCCGCAUACGCCGGCUGGGAUCGAGGACCGCAGCGCGCCUUUAUGGCCGGGGGUUCGCCCCACGUUACGCGCUUAGGAUGUUGGCAUAAUGGCUUUAAGCGACCCGUCUUGAAACACGGACCAAGGAGUCUAACAUGCUCGCGAGUGUUAGGGUGGAAAACCCUUGCGCGUAAUGAAAGUGAAAGUUGGGACUCUCGUGAGGGAGGCACCGACGCCCGGCCCAGAAGUUCUCUGACGGUGCUGCGGUAGAGCGCGUAUGUUGGGACCCGAAAGAUGGUGAACUAUGCCUGAAUAGGGCGAAGCCAGAGGAAACUCUGGUGGAGGCUCGUAGCGAUUCUGACGUGCAAAUCGAUCGUCAAAUUUGGG
This 863-nucleotide ribosomal RNA is filed under the name Basidioradulum mayi. RNAcentral's name for it is "Basidioradulum sp. SLL-2019a partial large subunit ribosomal RNA". It matches the Rfam family "Eukaryotic large subunit ribosomal RNA", at positions 66 to 915 of the family's 3401-position model. Lineage: Eukaryota; Fungi; Basidiomycota; Agaricomycetes; Hymenochaetales; Hymenochaetaceae. The record is from RNAcentral. RNAcentral also lists the same sequence under 1 other name.